Molecule: non-coding RNA, 221 nt
Filed under: Bacillus mycoides
Lineage: Bacteria; Bacillati; Bacillota; Bacilli; Caryophanales; Bacillaceae
Also listed under: 1 other name
Description: T-box
Rfam family: T-box leader
About the family: Uncharged tRNA acts as the effector for transcription antitermination of genes in the T-box leader family. T-boxes are found upstream of many aminoacyl-tRNA synthetase genes and some amino acid biosynthetic genes usually in Gram-positive bacteria.
Source: RNAcentral
AUAAGCGUGUUGAUAGGAAGUAGUAACAAAUGUUGUUUCUUAUAGAGAGUCGAUGGUUGGUGGAAAUCGAUAGAAACAGUUUGUGAAUCCAUCCUGGAAUGGAAUGUGGAAUAUCUUUUGAUUAGUAAACAUUCCCGGUGAAGAGCCGUUAUUUCUACUUGAGAGGAAAGCGGUAAUGCUUUCAACUAGGGUGGCAACGCGGGUUAACUCCCGUCCCUUUG